Molecule: ribosomal RNA, 495 nt
Filed under: uncultured bacterium
Lineage: Bacteria
Description: partial 16S ribosomal RNA
Rfam family: Bacterial small subunit ribosomal RNA
Source: RNAcentral
GAUGAACGCUGGCGGCGUGCUUAACACAUGCAAGUCGAACGAAGCACCUCUCCCGAAGAUUGACACAGCUUGCUGUAGAUUGAUUCAUUUGAGGUGACUGAGUGGCGGACGGGUGAGUAACGCGUGGGUAACCUGCCUCAUAGAGGGGGACAACAGUUGGAAACGACUGCUAAUACCGCAUAGUAAGAAGAAUUCGCAUGUUUUCUUCUUGAAAGAUUUAUCGCUAUGAGAUGGACCCGCGUCUGAUUAGCUAGUUGGUAAGGUAACGGCUUACCAAGGCGACGAUCAGUAGCCGGCUUGAGAGAGUGAACGGCCACAUUGGGACUGAGACACGGCCCAAACUCCUACGGGAGGCAGCAGUGGGGAAUAUUGCACAAUGGGGGAAACCCUGAUGCAGCGACGCCGCGUGAGUGAAGAAGUAUUUCAGUAUGUAAAGCUCUAUCAGCAGGGAAGAUAAUGACGGUACCUGACUAAGAAGCCCCGGCUAACUACGUG